This 460-nucleotide ribosomal RNA is filed under the name uncultured bacterium. RNAcentral's name for it is "SSU rRNA". It matches the Rfam family "Bacterial small subunit ribosomal RNA", at positions 26 to 518 of the family's 1533-position model. The record is from RNAcentral.
AGAAUCAACGCUGGCGGCGUGCCUAACACAUGCAAGUCGAACGAGAAAGUGGAGCAAUCCAUGAGUAAAGUGGCGACCGGGUGAGUAACACGUGACUAACCUACCUUCGAGUGGGGGAUAACAUCGGGAAACCGAUGCUAAUACCGCAUAACAUCGCAAGAUCAAAGCAGCAAUGCGCUGGAAGAGGGGGUCGCGGCUGAUUAGCUAGUUGGCGGGGUAACGGCCCACCAAGGCGAAGAUCGGCAGCCGGCCUGAGAGGGCGCACGGCCACACUGGAACUGAAACACGGUCCAGACUCCUACGGGAGGCAGCAGUGGGGAAUUUUGCGCAAUGGGGGAAACCCUGACGCAGCAACGCCGCGUGGAGGAUGAAGCCCCUUGGGGUGUAAACUCCUUUCGACCAAGACGAUAAUGACGGUACUGGUGGAAGAAGCACCGGCUAACUCUGCGCCAGCAGCCGC